AGAGUUUGAUCAUGGCUCAGGACGAACGCUGGCGGCGUGGCUAAGACAUGCAAGUCGCACGGUGUAGCAAUACACAGUGGCGAACGGGAGAGUAAUGAAUCGCUAACGUACCCCGGACUCUGGGAUAGCUGCCCGAAAGGGCAGGUAAUACCAGAUGAUAUAUUCCCUUGGCAUCUUGGGAAUCUCAAAGGUCCGCCGGUCUGGGAGCGGGCGAUUUCGUAUCAGCUAGUUGGUGAGGUAACGGCUCACCAAGGCGACGACGCGUAGCCGGACUGAGAGGUUGGCCGGCCUCAUUGGGACUGAGACACUGCCCAGACUCCUACGGGGGGCUGCAGUAACGAAUCUUCCGCAAUGCACGAAAGUGUGACGGAGCGACGCCGCGUGUGGGAUGAAGUCCUUCGGGAUGUAAACCACUGUCAGGGGUUAGAAAGUUCUGAUCAACCCCAGAGGAAGAGGCGGCUAACUCUGUGCCAGCAGCCGCGGUAAUACAGAGGCCUCGAGCGUUAGGCGGAAUCACUGGGCUUAAAGCGUGUGUAGGCGGAUUGCUAAGUACCUUGUGAAAUCCCACGGCUUAACCGUGGAACUGCUUGGUAUACUGGCUGUCUUGAGCCACUUAGGGGCGACCGGAACAAACGGUGGAGCGGUGAAAUGCGUAGAUAUCGUUUGGAACGCCAAAGGUGAAAACAGGUCGCUGGGAGUGUGCUGACGCUGAGACACGAAAGCCAGGGGAGCAAACGGGAUUAGAUACCCUAGUAGUCC
Molecule: ribosomal RNA, 759 nt
Filed under: uncultured bacterium
Lineage: Bacteria
Description: bacterial SSU rRNA
Rfam family: Bacterial small subunit ribosomal RNA
Source: RNAcentral